RNAcentral lists this ribosomal RNA (463 nucleotides) under uncultured bacterium. RNAcentral describes it as "bacterial SSU rRNA". It matches the Rfam family "Bacterial small subunit ribosomal RNA", at positions 338 to 793 of the family's 1533-position model. The record is from RNAcentral.
CCUACGGGUGGCAGCAGUGGGGAAUAUUGCACAAUGGGCGCAAGCCUAAUGCAGCCAUGCCGCGUGUAUGAAGAAGGCCUUCGGGUUGUAAAGUACUUUCAGCGGGGAGGAAGGUGUUGUGGUUAAUAACCACAGCAAUUGACGUUACCCGCAGAAGAAGCACCGGCUAACUCCGUGCCAGCAGCCGCGGUAAUACGGAGGGUGCAAGCGUUAAUCGGAAUUACUGGGCGUAAAGCGCACGCAGGCGGUCUGUCAAGUCGGAUGUGAAAUCCCCGGGCUCAACCCGGGAACUGCAUUCGAAACUGGCAGGCUAGAGUCUUGUAGAGGGGGGUAGAAUUCCAGGUGUAGCGGUGAAAUGCGUAGAGAUCUGGAGGAAUACCGGUGGCGAAGGCGGCCCCCUGGACAAAGACUGACGUUCAGGUGCGAAAGCGUGGGGAGCAAACAGGAUUAGAUACCCCGGUAG